ACUCCUACGGGAGGCAGCAGUGGGGAAUAUUGCACAAUGGGGGAAACCCUGAUGCAGCCAUGCCGCGUGUGUGAAGAAGGCCUUCGGUUGUAAAGCACUUUCAGUAGGGAGGAAGGUAGUGUAGUUAACACCUGCAUUAUUUGACGUUACCUACAGAAGAAGCACCGGCUAACUCCGUGCCAGCAGCCGCGGUAAUACGGAGGGUGCGAGCGUUAAUCGGAAUUACUGGGCGUAAAGCGCAUGCAGGCGGCCUGUUAAGUCAGAUGUGAAAGCCCGGGGCUUAACCUCGGAAUUGCAUUUGAAACUGGCAGGCUAGAGUCUUGUAGAGGGGGGUAGAAUUUCAGGUGUAGCGGUGAAAUGCGUAGAGAUCUGAAGGAAUACCAGUGGCGAAGGCGGCCCCCUGGACAAAGACUGACGCUCAGAUGCGAAAGCGUGGGGAGCAAACAGGAUUAGAUACCCUGGUAGCGUCGUC
RNAcentral lists this ribosomal RNA (472 nucleotides) under uncultured bacterium. Its description in RNAcentral is "bacterial SSU rRNA". It matches the Rfam family "Bacterial small subunit ribosomal RNA", at positions 335 to 798 of the family's 1533-position model. The record is from RNAcentral.